RNAcentral lists this ribosomal RNA (597 nucleotides) under Triticum aestivum (bread wheat). RNAcentral describes it as "partial small subunit ribosomal RNA". The record is from RNAcentral. Lineage: Eukaryota; Viridiplantae; Streptophyta; Magnoliopsida; Poales; Poaceae.
AUGAAGGCCAACUGGAUCGUCCUCAUCCACCAAUCCGGUAGUCCGUGGCGUCUCGUGGAUAUCUACACCCAGCAAGAGAUCACCCUUCCAUUGUUGGAUACCGCCGCCAUCGAGCCUCGCGGCCCCAGACGCAAAUGUGCUGGCCUUCAUGAUUCCAGGACCUGGAAUCAUACCAGCCGAUGGUCGAAGAAGGAUUGGCCGGUGCUGCCGGCUGGCGUUAAGUUCGAUCCCAUGGAUCAGGAGCUGAUCGAGCACCUUGUGGCCAAAGUGAGUGCUGACAGCGCGAGAUCUCACACUCUCAUUGGUUUGUUCAUACCAACCAUCGACAGUGAGCACGGCAUAUGCUACACCCAUCCCGAGAAACUUCCAGGUAUCACACUGAGUGGCCUAAGCAAGCAUUUCUUCCUGCACAAUUCCAGGGCAUUCAAAAGGGGCACGUGGACACAUUGCAAGAUACAUUCGAAGUGCGACAUGCACGUGAUGUGGCACAAGACCGGCAAUGCCUUGCCGGUGAUGGUCAACGGCCGGCAGACGGGCAGCCGAAAGGUUUUGGUGCUGCACACCAACAAGAACUUCGACCAUCGGAGGACCAAAUAG